This is a long non-coding RNA of Humulus lupulus (European hop), 955 nucleotides long. RefSeq lists it as uncharacterized. Lineage: Eukaryota; Viridiplantae; Streptophyta; Magnoliopsida; Rosales; Cannabaceae. The record is from RefSeq and is a predicted model, not a curated record. The transcript is spliced from 3 exons.
GACCAGACCAAAUGAGCCAUCUCCAGCAACCACCCAAUGAUACGCACCCCACCACAAGCUUCCUUGGCCCCCGAAACCCCCAACCCGUGAAGCUUGCCUCCCCACUCGUCGGCAUCCGUCGCAACUGGCCCCCCCGAAGUUCUGUCGCCGAUGUGAGUUUGGAGGAUUUUUCUGGCCUCCACCGUCUUCGAAACAAGAAUUCAAGGGAAUGGUUGGGUUUGUGAGCUCAAGAUAAGCAAAACCCCUAUGGAAAUUGGAUUGAAAUGUCGCUGGAGGUGCUCACCAAUGUCAAGAACGACUUUCUUCUUCUUCUUGGAUAUCUGAAUGACUUCACCUGUGCUGGCCUCUUCGCUCCUAAUAGCUUCUUCUUCAAAACCAGGGCACUUCUGAGAGAAUUGCCUCCUUUUAUGAGCUUUGAUGUGUAUAUUAUUUGGUGUAAAGUAUAUAUAGAAGCAUUGGCUUAUGCUUAGAGGGCAUAUCUAUUUGUUAUAUUCAUUGAUUUCAGAUCUAUUCCAUGGAUAUACAUACACGGUAUGCUCUCUCGUCAACCCUUAUUGGUGGUGUAAUGGGAGCACAUGCUCAAUUAUGGGAGCUUAUGAAGAAUCCAAGCAACUAGUGGAGAGCCAAACAACUCAAGGAUAUAUUUUCAAUUCAUUUCCAGUAGAUGUAUUCUCUAUAGUUGGAGAUUUCAGAGUUUACUUUUAUUGUGUUGAAAUUUUUACAUCAAUCAAGCAAACUGCUUUAAUGUAUAUAUUUAGCUUUAUAUGUUUAUUUUCAAUUAUAAGUUCUUUGGCUUUGCAUUUAAAACUUCUUACUAUCAAGCUUCAAGUGCUUCUUGGAUAUAUAGUGUCAGAAAAACUACUUAUGACUUUGUAUUUGAUCAAACUCCAGGAAGGAUAAUGUUGGAUUCUUCUCUAGUUGGAUAAUGUUGAAAUAAUUUUAAGUUCUGUUUCGU